UUUGUUAUCAUAUAAAUUAAUCAAUAGUCUACUGGUGUUAAACCAUCUUAUGUGAUACUAAAGAUUAGACUCUUAGGGUCUUAGAAUGAAUAUAGUUGUCAAUUUGGCCCAUGGCCUAUGAGCAAGCCUUGGUGAUACGUCAAUGCAUGAGGUAGCUUGCAGAUCCGUGAGUUCAGAGGCAGAAUGAGGCAGAACGGUUGAAGCACUUCAAUGGAACAGUGCUCGGCAGAAGCAAGCCANAUCUGGAUGCUCAUCAAUGUAAAGUUGUUGGAAGUUUUAGGAUGGUAGGCAGCGGAAGUAGUGAAACUAUGGUGAAGGGAGAUGGAUGUUAGCUUAGAAGAAUGAAUCACAACUCAGAAGGCUCCCAUGAUAUGGAAGGAAGUUGCAAUGAAGCUAGGAAGAUGACUCUUGGAGAGGAACUUGCUAAUCAUGUCAGCAGAGUUUCAACAAUAUGAUUCCAAAAGUGAAGAUACAACUAUGCCAAGGAGGUUUUAUAACUCAACCUCUCGGCUAUGCAUGGGAAAACUCAUCUACACGUUUCAGAUCUCAUUCCUACUAAUAAACCAUGUGCUAAAUGCGGAUGGCUUCUAGAAAGCCUUAUGAAGCAUGUGAUACAAAAGCUAUGCGCAUAAGGAGGAUAGAAACACUAAUGCCACCCCUAUGAUGCUAGACACACCGCCUCCUUAUGUAAAAAUGACCAUUUUACCCCUCUCCAUGUUCUUGGGUUGUUCUUUAUUUGGUGGGUUUGGGCCCCGCGUAUCA
This 762-nucleotide long non-coding RNA is filed under the name Vigna radiata. Its description in RNAcentral is "long non-coding RNA (VRAD_LNC002775)". Lineage: Eukaryota; Viridiplantae; Streptophyta; Magnoliopsida; Fabales; Fabaceae. The record is from RNAcentral.